Long non-coding RNA from Alligator sinensis (Chinese alligator), 1008 nucleotides. RefSeq lists it as uncharacterized. The transcript has 4 exons. Lineage: Eukaryota; Metazoa; Chordata; Crocodylia; Alligatoridae. The record is from RefSeq and is a predicted model, not a curated record.
ACACUGUAGCAUUUACAUGCCUGAGAUAGAAAGAGGUGUGAGAGGGGAGGACGGUAAAGUGGUACAGGCUGUGGACUGGAAAUAACUGAACUGGAGCAGAAAUGCUUUCAAUAAGGUGUUGCCAGAAUACAACCAACCAGCAAGUAUUCCAACAUAACAUGAUCUCAACAGUCAGCUCCAGUUUACUGCACCAAGGUAUCUGAGUGCCAUUUUGCAAGCCAAAUGAGGAAUGAAAUCCUAAAAUGAGUGUCCCGUGACUUCUGAUUCACAAUCAGAGUUGAGAGGAGGUAUGAAGAGGAGGACUGUUGGAUGGACCCACAAAACAAAAUGGUUAUUACUCUGUGCUGGGGAUUCUCUGCAAAGUGAAACCUCCGGAGCCUGGCUGUUUACAGACCAUGAACCACCACUCAGGCUUGUUAGAUGGUUGACAACUAAUUCUGUAUCUUGCAAGGAUUCCCACCCCUCCAUGUCAGGUGGAGAAGAUGAAUAGUCCUUGUAAACUAAGGACAGACAGCUGGAUGAACUGCCAGGGAGGAUAAAGAAGAUGCAAACGCAGCAUCUUCAACCACAGGAAAACUGGCUGACUGGCAGGUGCACCAAGUAUUUUAAUAGCUACAAGGCCAAACCACAUGAAAUAUUUCAAGUACCCAAUGCCAGACCUCAAAACAUUGUGUGGAUUGCAUUCUUUCUUUAAGAAUAAUAAAGUUUGCCUCCUUUGAAAGCCAUACAUUUUGAUUAGCCAUGGCUUUGGGGAAAACCACCCUUUCUCAGAUGUUUCUCACCUGACGGAUUGCUUUGGGGCAUGUCUUCUAAUCAGCCUGCGGAAACUGGGUUCGUCUUCCUUGCCUGCCUCAGUGGGCCAUCCACACCUGUGUUGGAAGAUGAAUUAAACAAAUGGAAUAAUUUAAAAUAGUUUAUGUCUAUAAAAAUAUGCUGAUGGCAAGGCAGCUAAGGAGGGAAUGUAAUGAUUCUUUACAGAUAUUUUUGCUCAGGUCUAGAGACUAUAAU